AUAUCACGUUAAAACACUGGUUCCUGCACGAUCACCGAAGUUAUGCAACAUCGAUUCUGGUCAGUACCUAGAUAGGUGACCGCUUGGGAAUACCAGGGGCUGUAA
Acanthosepion pharaonis is the source of this 105-nucleotide non-coding RNA. Lineage: Eukaryota; Metazoa; Mollusca; Cephalopoda; Sepiida; Sepiidae. The record is from the annotation of a GenBank genome assembly.